AGUGAACGCUGGCGGUAGGCCUAACACAUGCAAGUCGAACGGCAGCACAGUAAGAGCUUGCUCUUACGGGUGGCGAGUGGCGGACGGGUGAGGAAUACAUCGGAAUCUACUUUUUCGUGGGGGAUAACGUAGGGAAACUUACGCUAAUACCGCAUACGACCUACGGGUGAAAGCAGGGGAUCUUCGGACCUUGCGCGAUUGAAUGAGCCGAUGUCGGAUUAGCUAGUUGGCGGGGUAAAGGCCCACCAAGGCGACGAUCCGUAGCUGGUCUGAGAGGAUGAUCAGCCACACUGGAACUGCGACCCGGUCCAGACUCCUACGGGAGGCAGCAGUGGGGAAUAUUGGACAAUGGGCGCAAGCCUGAUCCAGCCAUACCGCGUGGGUGAAGAAGGCCUUCGGGUUGUAAAGCCCUUCUGUUGGGAAAGAAAAGCAGCAGGUUAAUACCCCGCUGUUCUGACGGUACCCAAAGAAUAAGCACCGGCUAACUUCGUG
Molecule: ribosomal RNA, 492 nt
Filed under: uncultured bacterium
Lineage: Bacteria
Description: partial 16S ribosomal RNA
Rfam family: Bacterial small subunit ribosomal RNA
Source: RNAcentral